GAUGAACGCUGGCGGCGUGCCUAAUACAUGCAAGUCGAGCGAACAGACGAGGAGCUUGCUCCUCUGACGUUAGCGGCGGACGGGUGAGUAACACGUGGAUAACCUACCUAUAAGACUGGGAUAACUUCGGGAAACCGGAGCUAAUACCGGAUAAUAUAUUGAACCGCAUGGUUCAAUAGUGAAAGACGGUUUUGCUGUCACUUAUAGAUGGAUCCGCGCCGCAUUAGCUAGUUGGUAAGGUAACGGCUUACCAAGGCAACGAUGCGUAGCCGACCUGAGAGGGUGAUCGGCGGCCCUGGAGCUUAGACGCGGACCUGGCUCCUACGGUAGGCAGCAGUAGGGAAUCGGCCGCAGUGGGCGGAAGCCUUGCGGAGCGACGCCGCGUGAGAUAUAGAAGUCUUCGGAUCGUAAAACUCUGUUAUUAGGGGAAAACAAAUGUGUAAGUAACUAUGCACUUCUUGACGGUACCUAGUCAGAAAGCCACGGCUAACUACGUG
RNAcentral lists this ribosomal RNA (497 nucleotides) under uncultured bacterium. Its description in RNAcentral is "partial 16S ribosomal RNA". It matches the Rfam family "Bacterial small subunit ribosomal RNA", at positions 28 to 507 of the family's 1533-position model. The record is from RNAcentral.